This 255-nucleotide ribosomal RNA is filed under the name Clostridioides difficile. RNAcentral describes it as "partial 16S ribosomal RNA". It matches the Rfam family "Bacterial small subunit ribosomal RNA", at positions 435 to 708 of the family's 1533-position model. Lineage: Bacteria; Bacillati; Bacillota; Clostridia; Peptostreptococcales; Peptostreptococcaceae. The record is from RNAcentral.
GUCCUCAAGGAAGAUAAUGACGGUACUUGAGGAGGAAGCCCCGGCUAACUACGUGCCAGCAGCCGCGGUCAUACGUAGGGGGCUAGCGUUAUCCGGAUUUACUGGGCGUAAAGGGUGCGUAGGCGGUUUUUCAAGUCAGGAGUGAAAGGCUACGGCUCAACCGUAGUAAGCUCUUGAAACUGGGAGACGUGAGUGCAGGAGAGGAGAGUGGAAUUCCUAGUGUAGCGGUGAAAUGCGUAGAUAUUAGGAGGAACA